CGGAGGAUCCAAGCGUUAUCCGGAUUUAUUGGGUUUAAAGGGUGCGUAGGUGGGAUAAUAAGUCAGAGGUGAAAGCUAGCAGCUUAACUGUUAAAUUGCCUUUGAUACUGUUAUUCUUGAGUAUAGUUGGCGUUGGCGGAAUGUGACAUGUAGCGGUGAAAUGCGUAGAUAUGUCACAGAACACCGAUCGCGAAGGCAGCUAACGAAACUAUCACUGACACUGAUGCACGAAAGCGUGGGGAGCAAACAGGAUUAGAUACCCAGGUAGUCCACGCCGUAAACGAUGAUAACUCGACGUUGGCAAUAUACUGUUCAGCGUCCAAGCGAAAGCGUUAAGUUAUCCACCUGGGGAGUACGAUCGCAAGGUUG
RNAcentral lists this ribosomal RNA (369 nucleotides) under uncultured organism. RNAcentral describes it as "bacterial SSU rRNA". It matches the Rfam family "Bacterial small subunit ribosomal RNA", at positions 526 to 896 of the family's 1533-position model. The record is from RNAcentral.